GACGAACGCUGGCGGCGCGCUUAACACAUGCAAGUCGAACGGAAAGGCCUGCUUUCCCUUGUGGCUUGCGGGUACUCGAGUGGCGAACGGGUGAGUAACACGUGAGUGAUCUGCCCCCAACUUGGGUAUAAGCCUGGGAAACUGGGUCUAAUUCCCGAUAGGACUGCAGGGUGGUGCCUUUGGUGGAACACGAUUUUCUAGUGGUUGGGGAUGAGCUCGCGGCCUAGCAGCUUGUUGGUGGGGUAAUGUCCUACCAAGGCGGCGACGGGUAGCCGGCGUGGGAGGGUGAACGGGCGACUUGGGACUGGGAUACGGCCCAGAGUCAUACGGGAGGCGGGAGUGGGGGAUAAUGCACGAGAGGCGGAAGCCUGAAGCAGCGACGCGGGGUGGGGGAUGACGGCCUUCGGGUUGUAGACUCCUGUGGAGCGCGAGGGAGCCAGCGGGUUGGAAGGGUGGUGACGGUAGUGGUAGAAGAAGCACCGGCUAACUACGUG
RNAcentral lists this ribosomal RNA (494 nucleotides) under uncultured bacterium. RNAcentral describes it as "partial 16S ribosomal RNA". It matches the Rfam family "Bacterial small subunit ribosomal RNA", at positions 28 to 507 of the family's 1533-position model. The record is from RNAcentral.